Molecule: unclassified non-coding RNA, 472 nt
Filed under: Hevea brasiliensis (rubber tree)
Lineage: Eukaryota; Viridiplantae; Streptophyta; Magnoliopsida; Malpighiales; Euphorbiaceae
Source: RNAcentral
ACUCUUUCCAUCAUGAUUUGCAUAGAAAAACAAAUAUGGGAAUGGGAAGGCAUCUAUUUCAACUUGUUAAGACCAUUAAUGUCUUUUUCAGAUGCUAAACAUGGACUCAACUCCCUCCAAUCACUUUAUCCAACAAUCUAGGCUUAAAACCUUACUACUAGAUAGCUGAUUGUAAAUUGAGAAAUUUAGAAUUGGUAUCAUUUUCAUAAAAACAUUUGCUGAUUAGAAUCUAACACUGUAACGUCAACAAUAAAUAGAAAAGAUUUUUGUGCCUAAUGUUACUUGUGAAAAUGCUUCAAGCAAAAAAAGUAAGCAUGAAAAAUGCAACAUAAUCAUCUGUCAUUUUAAAAAGAACAAUGUAUGUGGACGCCUCAGGAUUUAUUUGCAUCUUGAUAGUCAAGGGUAACUUUCUGUGAUGGAAAAUAAAUUUAAUGUUUAUCACGUUUUCCAGGGGCAUAAAUGCUGGAAAAAC